AACGCACAUUGCGCCCCCUGGCAUUCCGGGGGGCAUGCCUGUCCGAGCGUCAUUUCUGCCCUCAAGCGCGGCUUGUGUGUUGGGUGUGGUCCCCCCGGGGACCUGCCCGAAAGGCAGCGGCGACGUCCGUCUGGUCCUCGAGCGUAUGGGGCUUUGUCACUCGCUCGGGAAGGACCUGCGGGGGUUGGUCACCACCAUAUUUUACCACGGUUGACCUCGGAUCAGGUAGGAGUUACCCGCUGAACUUAA
RNAcentral lists this unclassified non-coding RNA (249 nucleotides) under uncultured fungus. RNAcentral describes it as "sequence contains ITS2". Lineage: Eukaryota; Fungi. The record is from RNAcentral.